UACAGAGGUCUCAAGCGUUGUUCGGAUUCAUUGGGCGUAAAGGGUGCGUAGGUGGCGCGGUAAGUCGGGUGUGAAAUCUCGGAGCUUAACUCCGAAAUUGCAUUCGAUACUGCCGUGCUUGAGGACUGGAGAGGAGACUGGAAUUCAUGGUGUAGCAGUGAAAUGCGUAGAGAUCAUGAGGAAGACCAGUGGCGAAGGCGGGUCUCUGGGCAGUAACUGACGCUGAGGAGCGAAAGCGUGGGGAGCGAACAGG
RNAcentral lists this ribosomal RNA (253 nucleotides) under uncultured bacterium. RNAcentral describes it as "partial 16S ribosomal RNA". It matches the Rfam family "Bacterial small subunit ribosomal RNA", at positions 524 to 776 of the family's 1533-position model. The record is from RNAcentral.